Molecule: ribosomal RNA, 498 nt
Filed under: uncultured bacterium
Lineage: Bacteria
Description: partial 16S ribosomal RNA
Rfam family: Bacterial small subunit ribosomal RNA
Source: RNAcentral
GAUGAACGCUGGCGGCGUGCCUAAUACAUGCAAGUCGAGCGAACGGACGAGAAGCUUGCUUCUCUGAUGUUAGCGGCGGACGGGUGAGUAACACGUGGAUAACCUACCUAUAAGACUGGGAUAACUUCGGGAAACCGUAGCUAAUACCGGAUAAUAUUUUGAACCGCAUGGUUCAAAAGUGAAAGACGGUCUUGCUGUCACUUAUAGAUGGAUCCGCGCUGCAUUAGCUAGUUGGUAAGGUAACGGCUUACCAAGGCAACGAUGCAUAGCCGACCUGAGAGGGUGAUCGGCCACACUGGAACUGAGACACGGUCCAGACGCCUACGGGAGGCAGCAGUAGGGAAUCUUCCGCAAUGGGCGAAAGCCUGACGGAGCAACGCCGCGUGAGUGAUGAAGGGCUUCGGAUCGUAAAACUCUGUUAUUAGGGAAGAACAUAUGUGUAAGUAACUGUGCACAUCUUGACGGUACCUAAUCAGAAAGCCACGGCUAACUACGUGC